CCCCGCCUAGGCAGCCAGUGGACACCUGCAUCCGCCUGCAAGACUGGAAGCAGGUCAGCGCAUGGACAGUUUCCCAGAAAGCGACAAACACUGUGAAGUUUGACGGUCUGGAAAACGGAGACCAACCGCGCUGACUACCUGGGAGCACCGAGACUCAGGACAGCGCCGCUCGGGGUCCAGGAAGGGAGCCACAAUCUGCUUCAGCACCAGGGCUCCGGACAGCUCCUAGGGGUUCCCGGAGCCGACUUCAUUUCAGAACCAGGACACUGGACAGCUUCCCUGGUACCGGGAAGCCCCU
Balaenoptera acutorostrata (minke whale) is the source of this 298-nucleotide long non-coding RNA. RefSeq lists it as uncharacterized. NCBI's taxonomy places the organism in Eukaryota, Metazoa, Chordata, Mammalia, Artiodactyla, Balaenopteridae. The transcript is spliced from 3 exons. The record is from RefSeq and is a predicted model, not a curated record.